This 72-nucleotide transfer RNA is filed under the name Imshaugia aleurites. Its description in RNAcentral is "tRNA-Val". Lineage: Eukaryota; Fungi; Ascomycota; Lecanoromycetes; Lecanorales; Parmeliaceae. The record is from RNAcentral.
GGACGUAUAGUGUAACGGCAGUACAUCAGACUCACAAUCUGCUGGAGGAGUGUUCGAGUCUCCUGCGGACCA